CAGUCGCCGCGGGAAUACGGAGGGUGCAAGCGUUAUCCGGAUUUAUUGGGUUUAAAGGGUCCGUAGGCGGAUCUGUAAGUCAGUGGUGAAAUCUCACAGCUUAACUGUGAAACUGCCAUUGAUACUGCAGGUCUUGAGUAAAUUUGAAGUGGCUGGAAUAAGUAGUGUAGCGGUGAAAUGCAUAGAUAUUACUUUGAACACCAAUUGCGAAGGCAGGUCACUAAGAUUUAACUGACGCUGAUGGACGAAAGCGUGGGGAGCGAACAGGAUUAGAUACCCGCGUAGUCCCUGUCUCUUAUAA
RNAcentral lists this ribosomal RNA (301 nucleotides) under uncultured bacterium. RNAcentral describes it as "partial 16S ribosomal RNA". It matches the Rfam family "Bacterial small subunit ribosomal RNA", at positions 509 to 809 of the family's 1533-position model. The record is from RNAcentral.